Molecule: regulatory RNA element, 100 nt
Organism: Methanosalsum zhilinae DSM 4017
Lineage: Archaea; Methanobacteriati; Methanobacteriota; Methanomicrobia; Methanosarcinales; Methanosarcinaceae
Rfam family: Pyrrolysine insertion sequence mttB
Source: Rfam
UAGGCAGACGCCAAGAUACCUGACGGCCAGGCUGGCCAUGAGAAGACAAUGACCACUCUUCUACCAGCUCUUUCCGGUGCAAACACCCUCUAUGGUGCAG